RNAcentral lists this ribosomal RNA (495 nucleotides) under uncultured bacterium. RNAcentral describes it as "partial 16S ribosomal RNA". It matches the Rfam family "Bacterial small subunit ribosomal RNA", at positions 28 to 507 of the family's 1533-position model. The record is from RNAcentral.
GACGAACGCUGGCGGCGUGCCUAAUACAUGCAAGUAGAACGCUGAAGGAGGAGCUUGCUUCUCCGGAUGAGUUGCGAACGGGUGAGUAACGCGUAGGUAACCUGCCUGGUAGCGGGGGAUAACUAUUGGAAACGAUAGCUAAUACCGCAUAAGAGUAGAUGUCGCAUGACAUUUGCUUAAAAGGUGCAACUGCACCACUACCAGAUGGACCUGCGUUGUAUUAGCUAGUUGGUGAGGUAACGGCUCACCAAGGCAACGAUACAUAGCCGACCUGAGAGGGUGAUCGGCCAACCUGGGACUGAGACACGGCCCAGACUCCUACGGGAGGCAGCAGUAGGGAAUCUUCGGCAAUGGACGGAAGUCUUACCGAGCAACGCCGCGUGAGUGAAGAAGGUUUUCGGAUCGUAAAGCUCUGUUGUAAGAGAAGAACGAGUGUGAGAGUGGAAAGUUCACACUGUGACGGUAUCUUACCAGAAAGGGACGGCUAACUACGUG